This 552-nucleotide long non-coding RNA is filed under the name Coturnix japonica (Japanese quail). RNAcentral's name for it is "lncRNA (ENSCJPG00005011589.1)". Lineage: Eukaryota; Metazoa; Chordata; Aves; Galliformes; Phasianidae. The record is from RNAcentral.
CCUAUUUCCUAUCCAAAUCACCAAAUUUUGUUGUUUUGUUUGUUUCCAAAGAAGAGAACUGCUUUGGAUACAGUGGACCUGAGAAACUGGACACAAUUUUUUAGAGCUGGACUUCUGAAAGCAAAGACUUAUGCAGGAAGGUUGAAAACAAGGAGGUGAGUGCGGACCACGACCAAAGAGUCAAAGGAAGGUUUAGAACCCAUAAGAACAAAUGCAUUCAGGAGGCAGAGUGAGAGAGUGGUGUGACAGAGCUGCCCACUGCUAUGAAACCACCAAACUACAAUGGCUUAUGCACCCAAGAAAAGGAAAAUAUAAUGUGUGGGUUGGCUUCCUGAGGAAUUAUCUCGUGUUCUUGCUCUCAGAAAACUGGGAGAAAACACUGAAUGAUGGAGCUCAGGAUCUCAUUCCACCACAUAGCUUCAGCCUUACAAAGGCUUUUCAUGUUAAGAACAGCAAUUCCUUUCCUUUCAGCAAAGCAGGAUUUGCAAAGCCCAACAAACUCACAGAUUUCCUUAUUAGUUGACAAUCACCAAGUUUUUACUAAGAAUUAAA